CCGCUGCCACCUCUUUCCGGCGACCACCAUAGCCCUGCACCAAUUAUAAAUCAGUGGGUAUAAAGCUUAAUUUCUCUUUGUCAAAUCAGUUCUAUAUAAACGUAUAUAUACAUGUGGUGUUGUGUUUAUAUGGUUUAAAUUAAUUUAUAUAAUCGAUUUAUGUGUGCUUGUAUGUAUAUAAACUGAUUAUAUGCUUGUAAUUGAAGGUUGAUUGAAUUUCUGAGAUUGAGAUUGGUGUUAGUAAUUGUAUGAUUGAAUUGUGUGCUUAAUUGAUAUUUGAACUGGUUGUUGUAAGUUGAUUAUAAAUAGUGCGCCAACUAGUAGUGUAAUCGGAUGACUUGGGUACUUGAAUUAUGGGAAUAUAUAACUGAGUAUUCAAGCUUUAAGGUCUGAGAUUUUUUGUAAAUGUUUUCAAAGUGGUGUUUUAAGAGUUUAAGUAUUGGGCUAAAAAAAAAAUUUUGAUUUACACAUAUUCGGUUGAAUUCUAGAUUGCUGUUGAUCUGUUUUGAAUUACAACUCUGGGAUCAUAGAGUUGAAUUAUAUGCUUAAUAUUUGUGUGGUUAUGUGCUCCUUAGAGUCUAGUUUAUGUGCGCGAAAGAACCGAAUCGAUUCGAUUAGCGAGCUAGGAGAUAUGACCGUUUUAGUAUAGUAUGGUGCUGAAAAUUCUGGGCAGGUUUGUCCUGUUCUAGGCUCUGUUUUACUGCUUUAAACUUGAAGUUUCUUUCUGAAAAUUUUACUGUAGGUUGGAAUAAUAUUCAGGAGUGUCUCAUAAAAAUUUUGUAUUUAAAAGAUAAAUUUUCAAUUUAUUAAAAAUCAUAGACCGAGGGCUGUUUGAACUAUUUGUUCUAGUUUUUCUUUCUUUGCUAGUGCAUAGUAUGAGGUUAUACUUGGCUAAUUGCAUAUGAUUGAUUAUUACAUUGAUUGGCUCGGUUAACCUUUAUAUCUAAUUAAACGUGCUUUGCGUAUAACAAAUUAGUAAUCCUGCUAAAAGAUUUUAUUAUAUGUUCACUACAAGUCAAGACAGAUUUUCUGUUCACUGCAAGCCAAGGGAUCUUUUUUUAUAUUAAUAAUUCAUGUGUUAGCAAUGGUAUUGGUUGGUUGUUGGUAUUGCAAACAGGUGGAUAGUCCGAUAAACGGAGGAGAUGAUGCCGAAUUUUCGUUAGAAACUAUAUGUAUUUAAUGGCUAUAAAAAGGGGUUAUUUGUGCAAUUAUGUGUUAUGUGUUUAUCUGCCUAUGUGGUAUGUAUAUGCGAAGGGUAGAUAUAUAUAGGUCUUAAUACUUUUCAGAGUUAGUUAAUUUGUCUGAUCCGACGGUUAAAAUACUAUUUUACUAUCGUAUAGAAUUGAAGACAUUGACCGAGGCAUUGAUCGAGAAGUGAUUGAAAUGGGUAUCCAGAAUUAGCCAAGUAGUGUUGCAAGUUGAAGUAGGGCGGAGAUUUGUUAUAGAUAAAAGCUUGUCAGAAGCUGGCAGAAAGGAAUGAUAUGGCGGUAUAUAGUAUUAUUAGAAAUCUGACCUAGACACCGGAGUUAAGGCAAGUACUUCUACCUUUCUCUCGCAAUUUAGAAGCAAGUAUUUCUACCCUACUCCUCUAGUACCUAUAGAUACUAAAACCUUCUUUAUAUCAUGAUUCAAAUUAUUUGCAAUUACUUUCUUGUGAAGCAUAUCUAGUACUUUUAAACCUUUUGGUUGAACGGAUAACACUUUUGGUAUCGACUCUACACUAUGAUAUGCAUAAAGAAAUUGUUUUAACAAAAUGUUGUUCUGGCUCUUGAAUUACAUGAUAGAACUGCAGAUUGUUUUAAAAAUUAAACUGUUAGGUUGUUUUUGCGUAAGAGGCUCGGGCACCGGCCCAGCGUGAAAGGUGGCUCCUUAAGCCCGGAUUACCGGAAUUCGUAAUAUUUGUCAACCUUGCUGAAUAAGCUUGGUUUAUGGACUAUAGCAUGACUGAUCAUCUGUUAUAGCCAGGUGUCCAAUUAUUUUUAAAGCCCAAUAAAAUUGUGAAUAGUUUAAAAAGAAGUUACCCUGCCUUCAAGAGAUAUUUGCUUAUACAUUCAUUUCUGCAGUUUUAAAUAUUUUCACUUCUUUAUUAUGGCAUUGCUGUACAACAAAUAUCAAUUUCAUUUUGUUAUUCUUGCUGAGCAUUAUUGCUCAUUCUUGCUAUUCCUUCUAACCCUUUUCAGCUAGGAAUAAAGAUGAUUCACUUAAGACUAGGCAAGGAUUGCAAGUGGUUGAGUUUCAAGCAGAUGGACAGGUAGAGUAUUUAGGACGAUGUCAUUAAGACUAGAUGCAGUUGGAGUUCUGCAAUUCAAUUCAGUUGGAAAUUAGAUUUGUUUAUUUGGUUAUCAGCUACUCUUCUUAUCGAGGUUUAGCUGAUAAUGUUGUUUAAUUUGUAAAUAAGAUUUUAUAGUUUUAGUUUCUGAUUUCAAUGCUGUAGCCUGUAUGCGAUCCUGUUUUCAGGGGGUGAAAUUGAUUUUGAAUUAAAGACCUUCUUUUAAAAAAAUAAUAUAUCCAGGUUUAGAAAUACUUGUUUUUACUUUCUUCCAAAAAUACAGGUUUUAAAUUGUUUUUCUUUUAAUGGCUCAAAACUACAGGUUUUAAAUUAUUUUUAUUUACACGUGGCACCAGAUCUAGACCCCCGGAUUUGAGGGAUGUCACAGUUGGUAUCAGAGCUACAGGUUAUAAGUUAUUGAAAUCAGAAUGUAGGUUGUAACUUGUCUAAUAAGAUAGACACGUUAAGUGAAACCUCACAUAUAGGUAAGUUCAGAUUAGUGGUGUAACCUCAUAUAGAGGUAUCGUAAGACUAUUUGGGGAUAGUCCUUUUGAGCAUAAUAAAAUGAAGCUAAACGAUUAUGUUUAAGUGAUUAUGGUUAUAGACACAACAAUUCCUAAUUCUAGUUCUUCCAGUCCCUAGUGGCCUAGUUUAUUGACCAAUUCAGAUUUAUAUCAUUGUAAGAGGGUCAAAGUUAGACCUAUCAACAGAACCUUCAAGCUAGAACCAGUAGAGAUUCUCACACAGUCUAAUGUAUCCUUUAUAGUAUCUUCCAAGUGUUGAGUAUUAUUUGAAGAGUCACCUUUUGAUUCUUGUCAGAGAUAUCUAGAAUUGGUGAAAGAAUAGAGGUGUUAACAAGUCCGAGUUUACAGCUUUGUAUAUAGUUAAGUAGUGAGCGUUAGAGCUACGUAGAGUUCGUGUUAGAUUAUUCGAUCUAGUACUUAUGUGUGAGUUAAGACGUCAACGCUCUAUGGUGAUGAUUGUAUAAAGUUGGAUAAGACUUUUGACCGACAACGAUAUCAAUGAUGGGAUCUUCAGAGGCUAUUACUAGUCAACGAUAAUAUAUGCAAGUGGUCACUAAAACGUCAAGAAGAAUCACUAGAAUCAGAACGAGUCAUCAAAAGAAUCGAUCAAGAAGACAUCUGUGAGAAUCCUGGCAAUACCUUCCUCAUUGUUGAUAUAUUGAUUUCUUUCCCCAUCAAUGAUUUGUUCUGACAUCACUUAAAAAAAAAAAUAUUUGAUAAAGAGUAUAUUUUUACCUUUCACUCGAGUUCUCGAAUGAUACUUGUGCUUACUGUCAGACCUAUAGAAUCUAUUCAAUCUUGGUAAUUUCGAACCCUUUCAUAUUCUCUACUCUAACUGAGAUGAACAACCCUACCUAUAGGGGACACAAGGACUACCUGUCUGUGUGAUAGGAGUUGGAUGGGACGCCAUCACUUGUGUGUGUUGUACAUUACAAGAAGGUUAACUACCUUUAGUAGUGUCUUAAAUUAGACACGCAACACCGAGUUCUAUAGACCAUAUUGAUCUCUCAGUUAUUCAUUUAUUUCAAUCACGUAACACUUGCUCCAAUAUGUGAAAUCUGUCAUAUCUUUUACCUUCAAGAUUCUUCUAAUCUCUAAUAGUUGGAGGUAUGCCAACCGAGUUGCCAAUAUGAAUUAAGACUUUGUAGUAAGAAGCACCAGGGAUGAAAGCGAAUGACAAUGCUGGUUAUAUCAGAAAGGAAUAUUAUGGAUUAUAGAGAUCGUACGCUCUAGUUUUCUUUUUGAUGAUUCCGAGGACGGAAUCUUUUUAAGGGGGGUAGAUUGUGACGACCCGGAUUUUCAGAAAUUAUUUUAUUAUUUUUAUUCAUGAUUAUUCGAGACAAAUGAGGAAUAAAUUUCAAUAUUUUAUUCUAGUUUGAUAAUUUUCAAAAAUAUUUGUUUAAAUUAUUUUCCUAGUCAUUGUGAUUAUGAGAAAAUAUCUGUUGAUUGUACAAUUAUAUGUUACGAGAUUUAAUUGAAUUAGUUGUCUACUAUUAUGUCUGUGUGUGCAUUUAUUUUUACUUUUAAUAUUACUGUAUUGUUUUAUUGAAAUUUAUUAUCCUCUUAAAUGGAUAUUUAUUUUUGUAAAAAUACAAAGAUAAUUUCAAAAAUUAUUUUAAUUGCUCGAUAGUGAUCAUAAAUAUGUUUAGAAGUUUUUAAAAUAUUAAAAAUCCAAUUUCUACAAGGACAUGAUUUUUAAUUAGUUUCUAAACGCAGCUAACUUCUUAAUUUUGUAUAAAUUUUGAAAAUGCUCUAUAAAUCUUGAAACUUUUAUUUUAUGAGUUUUAUAAUAUUCGGUAAUUUAUAAAAUUAGUUUGUUAAUUUUUCGAGAAAGUUUUAAUGCGAGUUAUCCCGUAAAUCAACUAAAUAGCGGGUGUUUGGAUGAUUAUUCAGCUUAAAAUAAAACGUGGCAGCCUUUGGCCAAACCACGUGCCCUGCUUUUCACCACCGCCAUCCCUUUUCUUCAUUUUAUAUACAUCAGCCUCUCAAUCUCUCUCUCUCUCUCUCUGUGAAAUCCUCCAUCUCUCCCUCUCCGCUCCUCUUUCUUUUCUCACCCAUCUUCCUCUCUUUCUUGGCAUCACCGUCCCUUCCCUGCAGCCGCCGAAUUAUGCCGCUGCCACCUCUUUCCGGCGACCACCAUAGCCCUGCACCAAUUAUAAAUCAGUGGGUAUAAAGCUUAAUUUCUCUUUGUCAAAUCAGUUCUAUAUAAACGUAUAUAUACAUGUGGUGUUGUGUUUAUAUGGUUUAAUUUGAUUUAUAUAAUCGAUUUAUGUGUGCUUGUAUGUAUAUAAACUGAUUAUAUGCUGGUUAUUGAAAUUUGAAGGUUGAUUGAAUUUUUGAGAUUGAGAUUGGUGUUAGUAAUCGUAUGAUUGAAUUGUGUGCUUAAUUGAUAUUUGAAUUGGUUGUUGGAGGUUCAUUAUAAAUGGUGCGCCAACUAGUAGUGUAAUCGGAUGACUUGGGUACUUGAUUUAUGGGAAUAUAUAACUGAGUAUUAAAGCUUUAAGGUCUGAGAUUUUGUGUAAAUGUUUUCAGAAUGGUGUUUUAAGAGUUUAAGUAUUGAGCUAAAAAAAAUUUAGAUUUACACAUAAUCGGUUGAAUUGUAAGUUGCUGCUGAUCUGUUUUGCAGUAAAAUUCUGGGCUUCUAGAGUCGAAUUAUAUGCUUAAUAUUUUUGUGGUUAUGUGCUCCUCAGAGUCUAGUUUAUGUGCGCAAAAGAAUCGAAUCAAUUCGAUUAGCGAGCUAGGAGAUAUGACCGUUUUAGUAUAGUAUGGUGCUGAAAAUUCUGGGCAGGUUUGUCCUGUUCUAGGCUCUGUUUUACUGCUUUAAACUUGAAGUUUCUUUCUGAAAAUUUUACUGUAGGUUGGAAUAAUAUUCAGGAGUGUCUCAUAAAAAUUUUGUAUUUAAAAGAUAAAUUUUCAAUUUAUUAAAAAUCAUAGACCGAGGGCUGUUUGAACUAUUUGUUCUAGUUUUUCUUUCUUUGCUAGUGCAUAGUAUGAGGUUAUACUUGGCUAAUUGCAUAUGAUUGAUUAUUACAUUGAUUGGCUCGGUUAACCUUUAUAUCUAAUUAAACGUGCUUUGCGUAUAACAAAUUAGUAAUCCUGCUAAAAGAUUUUAUUAUAUGUUCACUACAAGUCAAGACAGAUUUUCUGUUCACUGCAAGCCAAGGGAUCUUUUUUUAUAUUAAUAAUUCAUGUGUUAGCAAUGGUAUUGGUUGGUUGUUGGUAUUGCAAACAGGUGGAUAGUCCGAUAAACAGAGGAGAUGAUGCCGAAUUUUCGUUAGGAAUUAUAUGUAUUUAAUGGCUAUAAAAAGGGGUUAUUUGUGCAAUUAUGUGUUAUGUGUUUAUCUGCCUAUGUGGUAUGUAUAUGCGAAGGGUAGAUAUAUAUAGGUCUUAAUACUUUUCAGAGUUAGUUAAUUUGUCUGAUCCGACGGUUAAAAUACUAUUUUACUAUCGUAUAGAAUUGAAGACAUUGACCGAGGCAUUGAUCGAGAAGUGAUUGAAAUGGGUAUCCAGAAUUAGCCAAGUAGUGUUGCAAGUUGAAGUAGGGCGGAGAUUUGUUAUAGAUAAAAGCUUGUCAGAAGCUGGCAGAAAGGAAUGAUAUGGCGGUAUAUAGUAUUAUUAGAAAUCUGACCUAGACACCAGAGUUAAGGCAAGUACUUCUACCUUUCUCUCGCAAUUUAGAAGCAAGUAUUUCUACCCUACUCCUCUAGUACCUAUAGAUACUAAAACCUUCUUUAUAUCAUGAUUCAAAUUAUUUGCAAUUACUUUCUUGUGAAGCAUAUCUAGUACUUUUAAACCUUUUGGUUGAACGGAUAACACUUUUGGUAUCGACUCUACACUAUGAUAUGCAUAAAGAAAUUGUUUUAACAAAAUGUUGUUCUGGCUCUUGAAUUACAUGAUAGAACUGCAGAUUGUUUUAAAAAUUAAACUGUUGGGUUGUUUUUGCGUAAGAGGCUCGGGCACCGGCCCAGCGUGAAAGGUGGCUCCUUAAGCCCGGAUUACCGGAAUUCGUAAUAUUUGUCAACCUUGCUGAAUAAGCUUGGUUUAUGGACUAUAGCAUGACUGAUCAUCUGUUAUAGCCAGGUGUCCAAUUAAUUUUAAAGCCCAAUAAAAUUGUGAAUAGUUUAAAAAGAAGUUACCCUGCCUUCAAGAGAUAUUUGCUUAUACAUUCAUUUCUGCAGUUUUAAAUAUUUUCACUUCUUUAUUAUGGCAUUGCUGUACAACAAAUAUCAAUUUCAUUUUGUUAUUCUUGCUGAGCAUUAUUGCUCAUUCUUGCUAUUCCUUCUAACCCUUUUCAGCUAGGAAUAAAGAUGAUUCACUUAAGACUAGGCAAGGAUUGCAAGUGGUUGAGUUUCAAGCAGAUGGACAGGUAGAGUAUUUAGGACGAUGUCAUUAAGACUAGAUGCAGUUGGAGUUCUGCAAUUCAAUUCAGUUGGAAAUUAGAUUUGUUUAUUUGGUUAUCAGCUACUCUUCUUAUCGAGGUUUAGCUGAUAAUGUUGUUUAAUUUGUAAAUAAGAUUUUAUAGUUUUAGUUUCUGAUUUCAAUGCUGUAGCCUGUAUGCGAUCCUGUUUUCAGGGGGUGAAAUUGAUUUUGAAUUAAAGACCUUCUUUUAAAAAAAUAAUAUCCAGGUUUAGAAAUACUUGUUUUUACUUUCUUCCAAAAAUACAGGUUUUAAAUUGUUUUUCUUUUAAUGGCUCAAAACUACAGGUUUUAAAUUAUUUUUAUUUACACGUGGCACCAGAUCUAGACCCCCGGAUUUGAGGGAUGUCACAGUUGGUAUCAGAGCUACAGGUUAUAAGUUAUUGAAAUCAGAAUGUAGGUUGUAACUUGUCUAAUAAGAUAGACACGUUAAGUGAAACCUCACAUAUAGGUAAGUUCAGAUUAGUGGUGUAACCUCAUAUAGAGGUAUCGUAAGACUAUUUGGGGAUAGUCCUUUUGAGCAUAAUAAAAUGAAGCUAAACGAUUAUGUUUAAGUGAUUAUGGUUAUAGACACAACAAUUCCUAAUUCUAGUUCUUCCAGUCCCUAGUGGCCUAGUUUAUUGACCAAUUCAGAUUUAUAUCAUUGUAAGAGGGUCAAAGUUAGACCUAUCAACAGAACCUUCAAGCUAGAACCAGUAGAGAUUCUCACACAGUCUAAUGUAUCCUUUAUAGUAUCUUCCAAGUGUUGAGUAUUAUUUGAAGAGUCACCUUUUGAUUCUUGUCAGAGAUAUCUAGAAUUGGUGAAAGAAUAGAGGUGUUAACAAGUCCGAGUUUACAGCUUUGUAUAUAGUUAAGUAGUGAGCGUUAGAGCUACGUAGAGUUUGUGUUAGAUUAUUCGAUCUAGUACUUAUGUGUGAGUUAAGAUGUCAACGCUCUAUGGUGAUGAUUGUAUAAAGUUGGAUAAGACUUUUGACCGACAACGAUAUCAAUGAUGGGAUCUUCAGAGGCUAUUACUAGUCAACGAUAAUAUAUGCAAGUGGUCACUAAAACGUCAAGAAAAAUCACUAGAAUCAGAACGAGUCAUCAAAAGAAUCGAUCAAAAAGACAUCUGUGAGAAUCCUGGCAAUACCUUCCUCAUUGUUGAUAUAUUGAUUUCUUUCCCCAUCAAUGAUUUGUUCUGACAUCACUUUAAAAAAAAAAAAUAUUUGAUAAAGAGUAUAUUUUUACCUUUCACUCGAGUUCUCGAAUGAUACUUGUGCUUACUGUCACACCUAUAGAAUCUAUUCAAUCUUGGUAAUUUCGAACCCUUUCAUAUUCUUUACUCUAACUGAGAUGAACAACCCUACCUAUAGGGGACACAAGGACUACCUGUCUGUGUGAUAGGAGUUGGAUGGGACGCCAUCACUUGUGUGUGUUGUACAUUACAAGAAGGUUAACUACCUUUAGUAGUGUCUUAAAUUAGACACGCAACACCGAGUUCUAUAGACCAUAUUGAUCUCUCAGUUAUUCAUUUAUUUCAAUCACGUAACACUUGCUCCAAUAUGUGAAAUCUGUCAUAUCUUUUACCUUCAAGAUUCUUCUAAUCUCUAAUAGUUGGAGGUAUGCCAACCGAGUUGCCAAUAUGAAUUAAGACUUUGUAGUAAGAAGCACCAGGGAUGAAAGCGAAUGACAAUGCUGGUUAUAUCAGAAAGGAAUAUUAUGGAUUAUAGAGAUCGUACACUCUAGUUUUCUUUUUGAUGAUUCCGAGGACGGAAUCUUUUUAAGGGGGGUAGAUUGUGACGACCCGGAUUUUCAGAAAUUAUUUUAUUAUUUUUAUUCAUGAUUAUUCGAGACAAAUGAGGAAUAAAUUUCAAUAUUUUAUUCUAGUUUGAUAAUUUUCAAAAAUAUUUGUUUAAAUUAUUUUCCUAGUCAUUGUGAUUAUGAGAAAAUAUCUGUUGAUUGUACAAUUAUAUGUUACGAGAUUUAAUUGAAUUAGUUGUCUACUAUUAUGUCUGUGUGUGCAUUUAUUUUUACUUUUAAUAUUACUGUAUUGUUUUAUUGAAAUUUAUUAUCCUCUUAAAUGGAUAUUUAUUUUUGUAAAAAUACAAAGAUAAUUUCAAAAAUUAUUUUAAUUGCUCGAUAGUGAUCAUAAAUAUGUUUAGAAGUUUUUAAAAUAUUAAAAAUCCAAUUUCUACAAGGACAUGAUUUUUAAUUAGUUUCUAAACGCAGCUAACUUCUUAAUUUUGUAUAAAUUUUGAAAAUGCUCUAUAAAUCUUGAAACUUUUAUUUUAUGAGUUUUAUAAUAUUCGGUAAUUUAUAAAAUUAGUUUGUUAAUUUUUCGAGAAAGUUUUAAUGCGAGUUAUCCCGUAAAUCAACUAAAUAGCGGGUGUUUGGAUGAUUAUUCAGCUUAAAAUAAAACGUGGCAGCCUUUGGCCAAACCACGUGCCCUGCUUUUCACCACCGCCAUCCCUUUUCUUCAUUUUAUAUACAUCAGCCUCUCAAUCUCUCUCUCUCUCUCUCUGUGAAAUCCUCCAUCUCUCCCUCUCCGCUCCUCUUUCUUUUCUCACCCAUCUUCCUCUCUUUCUUGGCAUCACCGUCCCUUCCCUGCAGCCGCCGAAUUAUGCCGUUAUGCCGCUGCCACCUCUUUCCAGCGACCACCAUAGCCCUGCACCAAUUAUAAAUCAGUGGGUGUAAAGCUUAAUUUCUCUUUGUCAAAUCAGUUCUAUAUAAACGUAUAUAUACAUGUGGUGUUGUGUUUAUAUGGAUUAAAUUGAUUUAUAUAAUCGAUUUAUGUGUGCUUGUAUGUAUAUAAACUGAUUAUAUGCUGGUUUUUGAAAUUUGAAGGUUGAUUGAAUUUUUGAGAUUGAGAUUGGUGUUAGUAAUCGUAUGAUUGAAUUGUGUGCUUAAUUGAUAUUUGAAUUGGUUGUUGUAAGUUGAUUAUAAAUAGUGCGCCAAUUAGUAGUGUAAUCGGAUGACUUGGGUACUUGAAUUAUGGGAAUAUAUAACUGAGUAUUCAAGCUUUAAGGUCUGAGAUUUUUGUAAAUGUUUUCAAAGUGGUGUUUUAAGAGUUUAAGUAUUGGGCUAAAAAAAAAUUUUGAUUUACACAUAUUCGGUUGAAUUCUAGAUUGCUGUUGAUCUGUUUUGAAUUACAACUCUGGGAUCAUAGAGUUGAAUUAUAUGCUUAAUAUUUGUGUGGUUAUGUGCUCCUUAGAGUCUAGUUUAUGUGCGCGAAAGAACCGAAUCGAUUCGAUUAGCGAGCUAGGAGAUAUGACCGUUUUAGUAUAGUAUGGUGCUGAAAAUUCUGGGCAGGUUUGUCCUGUUCCAGGCUCUGUUUUACAGCUUUAAACUUGGAUUUUCUUUCUGAAAAUUUUACUGUAGGUUGGAAUAAUAUUUAGGAGUGUCUCAUAAAAAUUUCGUAUUAAAAAGAUAAUUUUUCAAUUUAUUAAAAAUCAUAGACCGAGGGCUGUUUGAACUAUUUGUUCUAUUUUUCUUUCUUUGCUAGUGCAUAGUAUGAGGUUAUACUUGACUAAUUGCAUAUGAUUGAUUAUUACAUUGAUUGGCUCGGUUAACCUUGUAUAUCUAAUUAAAAGUGUUUUGCGUAUAACAAGUUAGCAAUCCUGCUAAAAGAUUUUAUUAUAUGUUUACUACAAGUCAAGACAGAUUUUCUUAUGUGUUUACUGCAAGUCAAGGGAUCUUUUUAUAUUAAUAAUUCAUGUGUUAGCAAUAGUAUUGGUUGGUUGUUGGCAUUGCAAACAGGUGGAUAAGCUUAUAAACAGAGGAGAUGCUGCCGAAUUUUCGUUAGAAAUUAUAUGGAUUUAAUGCCUAUAAAAAGGGUUGUUUGUACAACUAUGUGCUAUGUGUUUAUGUGACUGUGGUAUGUAUAUGCGAAGGGUAGAUAUAUAUAUAGGUCUUAAUGCAAUUCAGGGUUAGUCAAUAUGUCUAAUCCGACGACUGAAAUACUAUUUUAUCAUCGUAUAGAAUUGAAGACAUUGACCGAGGCAUUAAUCGAGAAGUGAUUGAAAGGGGUAUUCAGAAAUAGCCAAGCAGAAUGUUACAAGUUGAAGUAGGACGGAGAUUUGUUAUAGAUAAAAGUGUGUCAGAAGCUGGCAGAAAGGAAUGAUUAUGCGGUAUAUAGUGUUACUAGGAAUCUGAGCUAAACUUUGGAGUUAAGGCAAGUACUUCUACCUUCUCUCGCAAUUUAGAAGCAAGUAUUUCUACCCUACUCCUCUAGUACCUAUAGAUACUAAAACCUUCUUUAUAUCAUGAUUCAAAUUAUUUGCAAUUACUUUCUUGUGAAGCAUAUCUAGUACUUUUAAACUUUUUGGUUGAACGGAUAACACUUUUGGUAUCAACUCUACACUAUGAUAUGCAUAAAGAAAUUGUUUUAACAAAAUGUUAUUCUGGCUCUUGAAUUACAUGAUGGAACUGCAGAUUGUUUUAAAAAUUAAACUAUUGGGUUGUUUUUGCGUAAGAGGCUCGGGCACCGGCCCAGCGUGAAAGGUGGCUCCUUAAGCCCGGAUUACCGGAAUUCGUAAUAUUUGUCAACCUUGCUGAAUAAGCUUGGUUUAUGGACUAUAGCAUGACUGAUCAUCUGUUAUAGCCAGGUGUCCAAUUAUUUUUAAAGCCCAAUAAAAUUGUGAAUAGUUUAAAAAGAAGUUACCCUGCCUUCAAGAGAUAUUUGCUUAUACAUUCAUUUCUGCAGUUUUAAAUAUUUUCACUUCUUUAUUAUGGCAUUGCUGUACAACAAAUAUCAAUUUCAUUUUGUUAUUCUUGCUGAGCAUUAUUGCUCAUUCUUGCUAUUCCUUCUAACCCUUUUCAGCUAGGAAUAAAGAUGAUUCACUUAAGACUAGGCAAGGAUUGCAAGUGGUUGAGUUUCAAGCAGAUGGACAGGUAGAGUAUUUAGGACGAUGUCAUUAAGACUAGAUGCAGUUGGAGUUCUGCAAUUCAAUUCAGUUGGAAAUUAGAUUUGUUUAUUUGGUUAUCAGCUACUCUUCUUAUCGAGGUUUAGCUGAUAAUGUUGUUUAAUUUGUAAAUAAGAUUUUAUAGUUUUAGUUUCUGAUUUCAAUGCUGUAGCCUGUAUGCGAUCCUGUUUUCAGGGGGUGAAAUUGAUUUUGAAUUAAAGACCUUCUUUUAAAAAAAAAAAAUAUCCAGGUUUAGAAAUACUUGUUUUUACUUUCUUCCAAAAAUACAGGUUUUAAAUUGUUUUUCUUUUAAUGGCUCAAAACUACAGGUUUUAAAUUAUUUUUAUUUACACGUGGCACCAGAUCUAGACCCCCGGAUUUGAGGGAUGUCACAGUUGGUAUCAGAGCUACAGGUUAUAAGUUAUUGAAAUCAGAAUGUAGGUUGUAACUUGUCUAAUAAGAUAGACACGUUAAGUGAAACCUCACAUAUAGGUAAGUUCAGAUUAGUGGUGUAACCUCAUAUAGAGGUAUCGUAAGACUAUUUGGGGAUAGUCCUUUUGAGCAUAAUAAAAUGAAGCUAAACGAUUAUGUUUAAGUGAUUAUGGUUAUAGACACAACAAUUCCUAAUUCUAGUUCUUCCAGUCCCUAGUGGCCUAGUUUAUUGACCAAUUCAGAUUUAUAUCAUUGUAAGAGGGUCAAAGUUAGACCUAUCAACAGAACCUUCAAGCUAGAACCAGUAGAGAUUCUCACACAGUCUAAUGUAUCCUUUAUAGUAUCUUCCAAGUGUUGAGUAUUAUUUGAAGAGUCACCUUUUGAUUCUUGUCAGAGAUAUCUAGAAUUGGUGAAAGAAUAGAGGUGUUAACAAGUCCGAGUUUACAGCUUUGUAUAUAGUUAAGUAGUGAGCGUUAGAGCUACGUAGAGUUCGUGUUAGAUUAUUCGAUCUAGUACUUAUGUGUGAGUUAAGACGUCAACGCUCUAUGGUGAUGAUUGUAUAAAGUUGGAUAAGACUUUUGACCGACAACGAUAUCAAUGAUGGGAUCUUCAGAGGCUAUUACUAGUCAACGAUAAUAUAUGCAAGUGGUCACUAAAACGUCAAGAAGAAUCACUAGAAUCAGAACGAGUCAUCAAAAGAAUCGAUCAAGAAGACAUCUGUGAGAAUCCUGGCAAUACCUUCCUCAUUGUUGAUAUAUUGAUUUCUUUCCCCAUCAAUGAUUUGUUCUGACAUCACUUAAAAAAAAAAAUAUUUGAUAAAGAGUAUAUUUUUACCUUUCACUCGAGUUCUCGAAUGAUACUUGUGCUUACUGUCAGACCUAUAGAAUCUAUUCAAUCUUGGUAAUUUCGAACCCUUUCAUAUUCUCUACUCUAACUGAGAUGAACAACCCUACCUAUAGGGGACACAAGGACUACCUGUCUGUGUGAUAGGAGUUGGAUGGGACGCCAUCACUUGUGUGUGUUGUACAUUACAAGAAGGUUAACUACCUUUAGUAGUGUCUUAAAUUAGACACGCAACACCGAGUUCUAUAGACCAUAUUGAUCUCUCAGUUAUUCAUUUAUUUCAAUCACGUAACACUUGCUCCAAUAUGUGAAAUCUGUCAUAUCUUUUACCUUCAAGAUUCUUCUAAUCUCUAAUAGUUGGAGGUAUGCCAACCGAGUUGCCAAUAUGAAUUAAGACUUUGUAGUAAGAAGCACCAGGGAUGAAAGCGAAUGACAAUGCUGGUUAUAUCAGAAAGGAAUAUUAUGGAUUAUAGAGAUCGUACGCUCUAGUUUUCUUUUUGAUGAUUCCGAGGACGGAAUCUUUUUAAGGGGGGUAGAUUGUGACGACCCGGAUUUUCAGAAAUUAUUUUAUUAUUUUUAUUCAUGAUUAUUCGAGACAAAUGAGGAAUAAAUUUCAAUAUUUUAUUCUAGUUUGAUAAUUUUCAAAAAUAUUUGUUUAAAUUAUUUUCCUAGUCAUUGUGAUUAUGAGAAAAUAUCUGUUGAUUGUACAAUUAUAUGUUACGAGAUUUAAUUGAAUUAGUUGUCUACUAUUAUGUCUGUGUGUGCAUUUAUUUUUACUUUUAAUAUUACUGUAUUGUUUUAUUGAAAUUUAUUAUCCUCUUAAAUGGAUAUUUAUUUUUGUAAAAAUACAAAGAUAAUUUCAAAAAUUAUUUUAAUUGCUCGAUAGUGAUCAUAAAUAUGUUUAGAAGUUUUUAAAAUAUUAAAAAUCCAAUUUCUACAAGGACAUGAUUUUUAAUUAGUUUCUAAACGCAGCUAACUUCUUAAUUUUGUAUAAAUUUUGAAAAUGCUCUAUAAAUCUUGAAACUUUUAUUUUAUGAGUUUUAUAAUAUUCGGUAAUUUAUAAAAUUAGUUUGUUAAUUUUUCGAGAAAGUUUUAAUGCGAGUUAUCCCGUAAAUCAACUAAAUAGCGGGUGUUUGGAUGAUUAUUCAGCUUAAAAUAAAACGUGGCAGCCUUUGGCCAAACCACGUGCCCUGCUUUUCACCACCGCCAUCCCUUUUCUUCAUUUUAUAUACAUCAGCCUCUCAAUCUCUCUCUCUCUCUCUCUGUGAAAUCCUCCAUCUCUCCCUCUCCGCUCCUCUUUCUUUUCUCACCCAUCUUCCUCUCUUUCUUGGCAUCACCGUCCCUUCCCUGCAGCCGCCGAAUUAUGCCGCUGCCACCUCUUUCCGGCGACCACCAUAGCCCUGCACCAAUUAUAAAUCAGUGGGUAUAAAGCUUAAUUUCUCUUUGUCAAAUCAGUUCUAUAUAAACGUAUAUAUACAUGUGGUGUUGUGUUUAUAUGGUUUAAUUUGAUUUAUAUAAUCGAUUUAUGUGUGCUUGUAUGUAUAUAAACUGAUUAUAUGCUGGUUAUUGAAAUUUGAAGGUUGAUUGAAUUUUUGAGAUUGAGAUUGGUGUUAGUAAUCGUAUGAUUGAAUUGUGUGCUUAAUUGAUAUUUGAAUUGGUUGUUGGAGGUUCAUUAUAAAUGGUGCGCCAACUAGUAGUGUAAUCGGAUGACUUGGGUACUUGAUUUAUGGGAAUAUAUAACUGAGUAUUAAAGCUUUAAGGUCUGAGAUUUUGUGUAAAUGUUUUCAGAAUGGUGUUUUAAGAGUUUAAGUAUUGAGCUAAAAAAAAUUUAGAUUUACACAUAAUCGGUUGAAUUGUAAGUUGCUGCUGAUCUGUUUUGCAGUAAAAUUCUGGGCUUCUAGAGUCGAAUUAUAUGCUUAAUAUUUUUGUGGUUAUGUGCUCCUCAGAGUCUAGUUUAUGUGCGCAAAAGAAUCGAAUCAAUUCGAUUAGCGAGCUAGGAGAUAUGACCGUUUUAGUAUAGUAUGGUGCUGAAAAUUCUGGGCAGGUUUGUCCUGUUCCAGGCUCUGUUUUACAGCUUUAAACUUGGAUUUUCUUUCUGAAAAUUUUACUGUAGGUUGGAAUAAUAUUUAGGAGUGUCUCAUAAAAAUUUCGUAUUUAAAAGAUAAAUUUUCAAUUUAUUAAAAAUCAUAGACCGAGGGCUGUUUGAACUAUUUGUUCUAUUUUUCUUUCUUUGCUAGUGCAUAGUAUGAGGUUAUACUUGACUAAUUGCAUAUGAUUGAUUAUUACAUUGAUUGGCUCGGUUAACCUUGUAUAUCUAAUUAAAAGUGUUUUGCGUAUAACAAGUUAGCAAUCCUGCUAAAAGAUUUUAUUAUAUGUUUACUACAAGUCAAGACAGAUUUUCUUAUGUGUUUACUGCAAGUCAAGGGAUCUUUUUAUAUUAAUAAUUCAUGUGUUAGCAAUAGUAUUGGUUGGUUGUUGGCAUUGCAAACAGGUGGAUAAGCUUAUAAACAGAGGAGAUGCUGCCGAAUUUUCGUUAGAAAUUAUAUGGAUUUAAUGCCUAUAAAAAGGGUUGUUUGUACAACUAUGUGCUAUGUGUUUAUGUGACUGUGGUAUGUAUAUGCGAAGGGUAGAUAUAUAUAUAGGUCUUAAUGCAAUUCAGGGUUAGUCAAUAUGUCUAAUCCGACGACUGAAAUACUAUUUUAUCAUCGUAUAGAAUUGAAGACAUUGACCGAGGCAUUAAUCGAGAAGUGAUUGAAAGGGGUAUUCAGAAAUAGCCAAGCAGAAUGUUACAAGUUGAAGUAGGACGGAGAUUUGUUAUAGAUAAAAGUGUGUCAGAAGCUGGCAGAAAGGAAUGAUUAUGCGGUAUAUAGUGUUACUAGGAAUCUGAGCUAAACUUUGGAGUUAAGGCAAGUACUUCUACCUUCUCUCGCAAUUUAGAAGCAAGUAUUUCUACCCUACUCCUCUAGUACCUAUAGAUACUAAAACCUUCUUUAUAUCAUGAUUCAAAUUAUUUGCAAUUACUUUCUUGUGAAGCAUAUCUAGU
Molecule: long non-coding RNA, 16407 nt
Filed under: Daucus carota (carrot)
Lineage: Eukaryota; Viridiplantae; Streptophyta; Magnoliopsida; Apiales; Apiaceae
Description: long non-coding RNA (DCAR_LNC003535)
Source: RNAcentral